CGCGUAGGCGGCCCGCUAAGUCGAACGUGAAAUCCCCGAGCUCAACUCGGGAACUGCGUCCGAUACUGGUGGGCUUGAAUCCGGGAGAGGGAUGCGGAAUUCCAGGUGUAGCGGUGAAAUGCGUAGAUAUCUGGAGGAACACCGGUGGCGAAGGCGGCAUCCUGGACCGGCAUUGACGCUGAGGCGCGAAAGCUAGGGGAGCAAACG
RNAcentral lists this ribosomal RNA (207 nucleotides) under uncultured bacterium. RNAcentral's name for it is "partial 16S ribosomal RNA". It matches the Rfam family "Bacterial small subunit ribosomal RNA", at positions 568 to 774 of the family's 1533-position model. The record is from RNAcentral.